GGAAGAGGAUGUCGUCUGGUGGCGGCCGCGGGCUUCAAACCCGUAGGGGGUAUGUACGUGCAUGUCCCGGUGGGUUCGAUUCCCACCCCUUCCGC
This 95-nucleotide transfer RNA is filed under the name Candidatus Zixiibacteriota bacterium. Its description in RNAcentral is "tRNA-Sec". It matches the Rfam family "Selenocysteine transfer RNA". The record is from RNAcentral. Lineage: Bacteria; Pseudomonadati; Candidatus Zixiibacteriota.